Molecule: ribosomal RNA, 592 nt
Filed under: Filobasidium magnum
Lineage: Eukaryota; Fungi; Basidiomycota; Tremellomycetes; Filobasidiales; Filobasidiaceae
Description: LSU rRNA
Rfam family: Eukaryotic large subunit ribosomal RNA
Source: RNAcentral
UUCCCCUAGUAACGGCGAGUGAGCGGGAAGAGCUCAAAUUUGAAAUCUGGUGGCCUCAGGUCAUCCGAGUUGUAAUCUAUAGAAGUGUUUUCCGUGCUGGCUCAUGUACAAGUCCCUUGGAACAGGGCGUCAUAGAGGGUGAGAAUCCCGUCCUUGACAUGAACUACCAGUGCUCUGUGAUACAUUUUCAACGAGUCGAGUUGUUUGGGAAUGCAGCUCAAAAUGGGUGGUAAAUUCCAUCUAAAGCUAAAUAUUGGCGAGAGACCGAUAGCGAACAAGUACCGUGAGGGAAAGAUGAAAAGCACUUUGGAAAGAGAGUUAAACAGUAUGUGAAAUUGUUGAAAGGGAAACGAUUGAAGUCAGUCGUGCUCUUUGGAUUCAGCCGGUUCUGCCGGUGUACUUCCUUUGAGUGGGGUCAACAUCAGUUUUGAUCGCUGGAUAAAGGCUGGAGGAACGUAGUACCCUCGGGUAAACUUAUAGCCUCCUGUCACAUACAGUGGUUGGGACUGAGGAACGCAGCACGCCUUUAUGGCCGGGAUUCGUCCACGUACGUGCUUAGGAUGUUGACAUAAUGGCUUUAAACGACCCGUCU